This 497-nucleotide ribosomal RNA is filed under the name uncultured bacterium. Its description in RNAcentral is "partial 16S ribosomal RNA". It matches the Rfam family "Bacterial small subunit ribosomal RNA", at positions 28 to 507 of the family's 1533-position model. The record is from RNAcentral.
GAUGAACGCUGGCGGCGUGCCUAAUACAUGCAAGUCGAGCGAACAGACGAGGAGCUUGCUCCUCUGACGUUAGCGGCGGACGGGUGAGUAACACGUGGAUAACCUACCUAUAAGACUGGGAUAACUUCGGGAAACCGGAGCUAAUACCGGAUAAUAUAUUAAACCGCAUGGUUCAAUAGUGAAAGACGGUUUUGCUGUCACUUAUAGGUGGAUCCGCGCCGCAUUAGCUAGUUGGUAAGGUAACGGCUUACCAAGGCGACGAGGCGUAGCCGACCUGAGAGGGUGAUCGGCCACACUGGAACUGAGACACGGUCCAGACUCCUACGGGAGGCAGCAGCAGGGAAUCUUCCGCAAUGGGCGAAAGCCUGACGGAGCAACGCCGCGUGAGUGAUGAAGGUCUUCGGAUCGUAAAACUCUGUUAUUAGGGAAGAACAAAUGUGUAAGUAACUAUGCACGUCUUGACGGUACCUAAUCAGAAAGCCACGGCUAACUACGUG